Molecule: ribosomal RNA, 404 nt
Filed under: Actinomycetes bacterium
Lineage: Bacteria; Bacillati; Actinomycetota; Actinomycetes
Description: Actinobacteria bacterium partial 16S ribosomal RNA
Rfam family: Bacterial small subunit ribosomal RNA
Source: RNAcentral
UGGGGAAUAUUGGACAAUGGGCGCAAGCCUGAUCCAGCCAUGCCGCGUGAGUGAUGAAGGCCCUAGGGUUGUAAAGCUCUUUCACCGGUGAAGAUAAUGACGGUAACCGGAGAAGAAGCCUCGGCUAACUUCGUGCCAGCAGCCGCUGUAAUACGAAGGGGGCUAGCGUUGUUCGGAUUUACUGGGCGUAAAGCGCACGUAGGCGGACUUUUAAGUCAGGGGUGAAAUCCCGGGGCUCAACCCCGGAACUGCCUGUGAUACUGGAAGUCUUGAGUAUGGUAGAGGUGAGUGGAAUUCCGAGUGUAGAGGUAAAAUUCGUAGAUAUUCGGAGGAACACCAGUGGCGAAGGCGGCUCACUGGACCAUUACUGACGCUGAGGUGCGAAAGCGUGGGGAGCAAACAGG